GCUGACGAGUGGCGGACGGGUGAGUAAUGUCUGGGAAACUGCCUGAUGGAGGGGGAUAACUACUGGAAACGGUGGCUAAUACCGCAUAACGUCGCAAGACCAAAGAGGGGGACCUUCGGGCCUCUUGCCAUCAGAUGUGCCCAGAUGGGAUUAGCUUGUUGGUGAGGUAACGGCUCACCAAGGCGACGAUCCCUAGCUGGUCUGAGAGGAUGACCAGCCACACUGGAACUGAGACACGGUCCAGACUCCUACGGGAGGCAGCAGUGGGGAAUAUUGCACAAUGGGCGCAAGCCUGAUGCAGCCAUGCCGCGUGUAUGAAGAAGGCCUUCGGGUUGUAAAGUACUUUCAGCGGGGAGGAAGGUGUUGUGGUUAAUAACCGCAGCAAUUGACGUUACCCGCAGAAGAAGCACCGGCUAACUCCGUGCCAGCAGCCGCGGUAAUACGGAGGGUGCAAGCGUUAAUCGGAAUUACUGGGCGUAAAGCGCACGCAGGCGGUCUGUCAAGUCGGAUGUGAAAUCCCCGGGCUCAACCUGGGAACUGCAUUCGAAACUGGCAGGCUUGAGUCUUGUAGAGGGGGGUAGAAUUCCAGGUGUAGCGGUGAAAUGCGUAGAGAUCUGGAGGAAUACCGGUGGCGAAGGCGGCCCCCUGGACAAAGACUGACGCUCAGGUGCGAAAGCGUGGGGAGCAAACAGGAUUAGAUACCCUGGUAGUCCACGCCGUAAACGAUGUCUACUUGGAGGUUGUGCCCUUGAGGCGUGGCUUCCGGAGCUAACGCGUUAAGUAGACCGCCUGGGGAGUACGGCCGCAAGGUUAAAACUCAAAUGAAUUGACGGGGGCCCGCACAAGCGGUGGAGCAUGUGGUUUAAUUCGAUGCAACGCGAAGAACCUUACCUGGUCUUGACAUCCACAGAACUUUCCAGAGAUGGAUUGGUGCCUUCGGGAACUGUGAGACAGGUGCUGCAUGGCUGUCGUCAGCUCGUGUUGUGAAAUGUUGGGUUAAGUCCCGCAACGAGCGCAAC
Molecule: ribosomal RNA, 1019 nt
Filed under: Salmonella enterica subsp. enterica serovar Derby
Lineage: Bacteria; Pseudomonadati; Pseudomonadota; Gammaproteobacteria; Enterobacterales; Enterobacteriaceae
Also listed under: 3 other names
Description: bacterial SSU rRNA
Rfam family: Bacterial small subunit ribosomal RNA
Source: RNAcentral